Molecule: ribosomal RNA, 406 nt
Filed under: uncultured bacterium
Lineage: Bacteria
Description: partial 16S ribosomal RNA
Rfam family: Bacterial small subunit ribosomal RNA
Source: RNAcentral
AUUGAACGCUGGCGGCAGGCCUAACACAUGCAAGUCGAGCGAGCGACGGACGGGUGAGUAAUGUCUGGGUAACUGCCUGAUGGAGAGGGAUAACUACUGGAAACGGUAGCUAAUACCGCAUACCAUCAGAUCUGCCCAGAUGGGAUUAGCUAGUGGGUGGGGUAAUGGCUCACCUAGGCGACGAUCCCUAGCUGGUCUGAGAGGAUGACCAGCCACACUGGAACUGAGACACGGUCCAGACUCCUACGGGAGGCAGCAGUGGGGAAUAUUGGACAAUGGGCGAAAGCCUGAUGCAGCCAUGCCGCGUGUGUGAAGAAGGCCUUCGGGUUGUAAAGCACUUUCAGCGGGGAGGCGUUACCCGCAGAAGAAGCACCGGCUAACUCCGUGCCAGCAGCCGCGGUAAUUC